Micropterus dolomieu (smallmouth bass) is the source of this 524-nucleotide long non-coding RNA. RefSeq lists it as uncharacterized. Lineage: Eukaryota; Metazoa; Chordata; Actinopteri; Centrarchiformes; Centrarchidae. The transcript is spliced from 3 exons. The record is from RefSeq and is a predicted model, not a curated record.
AUUUCCUUCAACUUGCUUUUGUCACAGUUUUGGUUUAAAGCAGAAAUAACCCUCCUGCUAUUCUGUAGAAAUAUCAAAACCUUAUUGAUUGACAAUAUGCAAAAAUCUCAGUUCGUAAAACCAUCUGAAUACUGCGGCGUUGCCCCAAGGUGGUGGUCAGCGUCGAUAAGGGUGGAAGCCCUGUACGUUGUGAUUCUGCCCUCUGCCAAACGCAGUGGCGGCAGGCUGGGGGGCGGCGGCGGGUUGUGCCGUCGGAGCCCCGUACGUGGCCGUCGGCUGGUUGGGGUCUGCGAAGCUGUGGCCAAAGGCUGUCAGGUCCUGCCCGUACCCUGAGGAGGACGACAGAGGGGAUAACAGAAAGGACAGGGGCCACAGAGAGACAAGGAUAUUAAUGUCAGGUUCACCAGAAGAUCUUAGGGAGAAGCUUUAACUGCUUUAAAAGGAUCUGAGAUGUGUUUGGGAGAAAGUGCUGUAAAAAAUGAACACCACCACCAAACAACUAAAAUGGACCAAGAAAUAAAAUG